GACGGAGGAUGCAAGUGUUAUCCGGAAUCACUGGGCGUAAAGCGUCUGUAGGUGGUUUAAUAAGUCAACUGUUAAAUCUUGAGGCUCAACUUCAAAAUCGCAGUCGAAACUAUUAGACUAGAGUAUAGUAGGGGUAAAGGGAAUUUCCAGUGGAGCGGUGAAAUGCGUAGAUAUUGGAAAGAACACCGAUGGCGAAAGCACUUUACUGGGCUAUUACUAACACUCAGAGACGAAAGCUAGGGUAGCAAAUGGGAUUAG
Molecule: ribosomal RNA, 258 nt
Filed under: uncultured bacterium
Lineage: Bacteria
Description: partial 16S ribosomal RNA
Rfam family: Bacterial small subunit ribosomal RNA
Source: RNAcentral